GGAAUUGUAGUUCAAUUGGACAGAGACCGCCCUGUCAAGGCGGAAGCUACGGGUUCGAGCCCCGUCAGUCCCG
This 73-nucleotide transfer RNA is filed under the name Gossypium arboreum. It matches the Rfam family "tRNA". Rfam says of the family: Transfer RNA (tRNA) molecules are approximately 80 nucleotides in length. Their secondary structure includes four short double-helical elements and three loops (D, anti-codon, and T loops). Lineage: Eukaryota; Viridiplantae; Streptophyta; Magnoliopsida; Malvales; Malvaceae. The record is from Rfam by way of RNAcentral.